This is a long non-coding RNA of Terrapene triunguis (Three-toed box turtle), 600 nucleotides long. RefSeq lists it as uncharacterized. The transcript has 3 exons. The record is from RefSeq and is a predicted model, not a curated record. Lineage: Eukaryota; Metazoa; Chordata; Testudines; Emydidae.
UUAACCAGUGCAUUAUCUCUUCCACAAUAAGGAAAGGGCUCUUGAGGCAAGGUAAAGUUGGAUGGAAUGCUCUGCCGUGUUCCUUACUGCCUGACCUAAAUACUAGAACAGGGUGAACUGUAGUAGUGAGGUUCCCUUUCUUUACAUAUUCACUUUAAACUGGAAAUCUCACAAUACCAAAGCUUUCUAACACAGACCUGAUUGAUACAGUGAGAACAGUCUCUUGCAAGACUUCUGCGCUUGGCUAAAACCAAAAGGCACAGAGAAAUGAAUAAGCACAGAGAAAUAUUCCAGUAAUAUGAGUUGUGUUACAAGGCUUUCCACUGAUGGUUUGUGGUGCGCUUCUAAAAGGAGAUAUUGUACUGGUGAUCCAAGCCACGUUUGCAGUAAUGCUUAAACUAGCAUAUGAGUUUUAAUUGGGAAGAACUGCUGAAGCACUAAGCGAUGUCUGCUUGUUUCUACCCAAGAGACUGAAGUUCUGAUAUUAUAGUGAUGGAGAUGGUGUAAACAGCUGGAUAAAGGCCAUCACUUCCCUACACUGAAUUUGGAUUUUCUGGAUAACCUGGUGACACUCCAUUUAUCAAAUCCAAAUGGCUUAGA